AUACAUAUCAAUAAGCGGAGGAAAAGAAACCAACAGGGAUUGCCUCAGUAACGGCGAGUGAAGCGGCAACAGCUCAAAUUUGAAAUCUGGCCCUAGGCCCGAGUUGUAAUUUGCAGAGGAUGCUUUUGGUGAGGUGCCUUCCGAGUUCCCUGGAACGGGACGCCAUAGAGGGUGAGAGCCCCGUCUGGUCGGACACCGAGCCUCUGUAAAGCUCCUUCGACGAGUCGAGUAGUUUGGGAAUGCUGCUCUAAAUGGGAGGUAUAUGUCUUCUAAAGCUAAAUACCGGCCAGAGACCGAUAGCGCACAAGUAGAGUGAUCGAAAGAUGAAAAGCACUUUGAAAAGAGAGUUAAAUAGCACGUGAAAUUGUUGAAAGGGAAGCGUUUAUGACCAGACUUGGCCCGGUUGAUCAUCCAGCGUUCUCGCUGGUGCACUCUGCCGGUCCAGGCCAGCAUCAGUUCGUCGCGGGGGAUAAAGGUUUCGGGAAUGUGGCUCCUCCGGGAGUGUUAUAGCCCGUUGCGUAAUACCCUGCGGUGGACUGAGGUCCGCGCUUCUGCAAGGAUGCUGGCGUAAUGGUCAUCAACGACCCGUCUUGAAACACGGACCAAGGAGUCGUCUUCGUAUGCGAGUGUUCGGGUGUAAAACCCCUACGCGUAAUGAAAGUGAACGCAGGUGAGAGCUUCGGCGCAUCAUCGACCGAUCCUGAUGUUCUCGGAUGGAUUUGAGUAAGAGCAUACGGGGCCGGACCCGAAAGAAGGUGAACUAUGCCUGUAUAGGGUGAAGCCAGAGGAAACUCUGGUGGAGGCUCGCAGCGGUUCUGACGUGCAAAUCGAUCGUCAAAUAUGGGCAUGGGGGCGAAAGACUAAU
Molecule: ribosomal RNA, 865 nt
Filed under: Paramyrothecium indicum
Lineage: Eukaryota; Fungi; Ascomycota; Sordariomycetes; Hypocreales; Stachybotryaceae
Description: Paramyrothecium sp. SK-2023a partial large subunit ribosomal RNA
Rfam family: Eukaryotic large subunit ribosomal RNA
Source: RNAcentral